Non-coding RNA from Salmo salar (Atlantic salmon), 72 nucleotides. Lineage: Eukaryota; Metazoa; Chordata; Actinopteri; Salmoniformes; Salmonidae. The record is from Rfam.
UCCCAUGUGGCUCAGUUGGUAGAGCAUGGUGUUUGCAACACCAGGGUUGUGGGUUCGAUUCCCACGGGGGAC